UUGGAGGGCAAGUCUGGUGCCAGCAGCCGCGGUAAUUCCAGCUCCAAUAGCGUAUAUUAAAGUUGUUGCAGUUAAAAAGCUCGUAGUUGAAUUUCGGGGUUAGUAGGUUGGUCAUGCCUCUGGUAUGCACUGGUCUCACUGAUUCCUCCUUCCUGAUGAGCCGUAAUGCCAUUAAUUUGGUGUUGCGGGGAAUCUGGACUGUUACUUUGAAAAAAUUAGAGUGUUUAAAGCAGGCUAACGCCUGAAUACAUUAGCAUGGAAUAAUGAAAUAGGACGUUUGAUCCUAUUUUGUUGGUUUCUAGGAUUGACGUAAUGAUUAAUAGGGAUAGUUGGGGCAUUAGUAUUCAAUUGUCAGAGGUGAAAUUCUUGGAUUUAUUGAAGACUAACUACUGCGAAAGCACUUGCCAAGGAUGUUUUCAUUAAUCAAGAACGAAAGUUAGGGGAUCGAAGACGAUCAGAUACCGUCGUAGUCUUAACCAUAAACUAUGCCGACUAGGGAUCGGAUGAUGUUAAUUUUUAAUGACUCAUUC
RNAcentral lists this ribosomal RNA (530 nucleotides) under uncultured Glomeromycotina. Its description in RNAcentral is "SSU rRNA". It matches the Rfam family "Eukaryotic small subunit ribosomal RNA", at positions 548 to 1081 of the family's 1831-position model. Lineage: Eukaryota; Fungi; Glomeromycota. The record is from RNAcentral.